RNAcentral lists this long non-coding RNA (5077 nucleotides) under Salvia miltiorrhiza (redroot sage). Its description in RNAcentral is "long non-coding RNA (SMIL_LNC005780)". The record is from RNAcentral. Lineage: Eukaryota; Viridiplantae; Streptophyta; Magnoliopsida; Lamiales; Lamiaceae.
AACAAAUCCAUCACCCAACUCGUAACUCAGCAAUCAGUGGAGCUUUUCCCUUCUUCAAUUCUUUUCAACAACAAGCUUAUCAUUUUUCUUCUUUCACGGAAGGUUUCUGCUUCUGUAUUUUUACAGAAAGCCUGCAUUGAUCUCAUCUAUGAUAAUCCACACAGACAACAACCCACAAAAUCCUUGAGAAAAGGUUUGAUCUUACACCCAUCUAUUCAUGACUUAUAUACUCUUUUCACUACUUCACAAAGAAGACAAUCACGGAUGGCACAUACAUAUUUCAUAUACAGAAUCAACACUAACAAGGAUUUCACUUUUCACUCAUAAGAACAAAACAUGUAUUGAAAUUUGUAGAUUUAUUUACACACCUGCAAAUCUUGUCUUAUAAUUGAGAUCAUUAAAGAGAUGGAAUAAAAAGAAGAAGCUUUUUGUGUAUAUGUUGGUGUGUGUACUGCUGUGUGCGUGAGUCUUAGAGGGGCUGUGUCGUCGUCCGAACUGAGGGAGAACGGAGGAGGGAGAGGGGAUUGGCGACGGCGGCGGUGGCCUGAUGCUCCUGCUGCCCGUCGAUCCAGAGAGGGUGAGAGUGGCGGUGGCGGGUAGCUACUGCUGCUGCUCUCCGGCUGAAACAGAGGGAGUGGGGCGACGAUGUCAGAGAGAAUGAGGGAGGCGGCGAUGGCGGUGGUCCGGCUGACCGCUGUUUUCGGCUGAAGCAGAGGGGGCGGUUCCGGCGGUUACGUCGCCGGAAAUCGAAGGAAAGAGAACCUAGGGUUGCUGAUUUGGGAAAUUUUUGUGAGGGAAGAGAUAAGGGGGACGAGCGAGAGAGCGAAAGUCGGGAGAAGGAAGGAAAGUCAGAGGGAGCGGCGGCGGCGGCACUCGCCGGCCGUCUGUCGACGGGAAAUUGAGAGAAAAGGGGGAGAGUUUCAUUAGCUACUUCAUCUGGUUCAGUUUUGAGAAUGAAAGAACGGGGUUUGAGUGAUUUUGAUGAGGGGAAGAAGGUGGUGGUGGCAGCUGGUGGCGAUUUCGCCGGGAAUGGAAGGCGGCGGCGUCGACAGGAGAGAAGAGGAAAAGAGAGAGAGACCGAAGGGGAGAGUGAGAGAGUGUCUGUGUGUGUACGUUGAGAAAAAGGAGAAGAAAGGAGAGAUUGAAGAAGGUGAGUUGGGCUCUAGCUUUGGGCCUUUAAUUUUAUUAAGUGGGCUGCAUUUUUUAUAACUUGGGCUUCAUGCAUAUAUUUCUAUUGGGCUGCAUGUUUAUUUGUUUGGUUAUAUGUUUUAAUUAUAAGUUAAAGUCUUACAAAUAUUUGUAAGCAAAAUAUUUUUAAGUUGAUUUUAUGCUCAAGAUGAGUUUUUAAGUAAAAGCCGAGCAAGGAUAUUAUUGAAAUCCUUAGCCAAGAAAAAUGAUUUUCAAGUUUUAUGUUGAAUUUUUGAAAAUCCGGGUGUUGCGAAUCUAGUUAGAAAUGAUGACAAGUCAUGAAGGUUAAGCUUGAUUUUAGGACUAUGAGUUUAAGUUGAGAACUUAUCUUGUAGGUCCUACAGAAGAGGAUAUUUAGGCUCUUGUUCAGCUGAGUUAUUUGUUUGGAUUUUCUCCAAAUCAGGUGAGGCUUUAUUUACGAAAUGUAUGUUUGAGCUAAUAAGCUCGGUUUUAUGUAAAGUUAAAGAUGAUGGUUCAUGCUUAAAAUGUUUUUGCUCUCUAUUGGUUACUGCUUCUACCAGAACAUUGUUGGCUCCGCCAACCAGAACAUUGUUAGCUCUGCUAACCAGAAUUGUGUACGUACACCAGAACCUGUUGUCUCGAGAGAUCGGUGACAACCAGUUGUAGAUAGCAUGCCCAAUAGAUGGCCAGGAAAAUAUGAGCUCAGAUUAUUUUAGUAUGCAUGGAAUGACUCGUCUUUAAAAACAUUCUGUGUUAUACUGUUUAAAGGCAUGAAUUAUCUUUUUCAGUAAAUGAUUUUUAAAAUGUUUUUAAAUGGCUCAACCCACUGAGUACACUAGUACUCAGCCCUGCAAUUGUUUUCAAAACCUUUUGCAGAUUGAGCAGCUGGUGGUGACGUGCGAGGCUGAGGAAGGGUUGUUGCUGUGGAUUCUGAAGAAAUACUGCGUUUACUUCUCCUAAAAUAAAUUCACUUAGUGAAUAUUAUCUGAUGCCUAAUUAUAUUAAUACUUUUAUUCAUAUUUCUAAUAUGAAUUUCAUUCUCCAUCACUUUUCUAGCGAUUGUUUUUCGCAUCUAUUAUAUGCUUAGUAUGAGACGUUGUUUUGGUCUCAGACCUUCGAACUUCCGAUCCUGAUAGGGAGAAUAAUUAUGUUAUAAUGUCGUACUUGUUUUCAUUUAAAUACGGCAUAAUGUCCAACCCUCAGGGCACAUUACCUAUUUUAUUCAAGUAAAGCUUAGUAGUCCUGUCACAUAGCCCAUUUCUUAUUCUCCCGGGAAAUCAGGGCUGUCACAAUAUACCAAGCAUACAAUUUUAAUUCACUUGGUGGAUACAAAAAUUUAUAUUUUGUAGUAAUUCAAAUUUUCCCAUGAUAAAGUUAAAUAUAAUAUCAAUGUGGGAAUAAUGAAUGACUAAUGUAAGAAUGUGAAUGACCUUUUAUUUAGGUAAUGAAUUGCUAAAGUUUGAUAUGUUUUCAAUGUGGGAUAAAUGAAUUAAGAUAGCAAAGAAUAGUGAAUGGAGAAGAUGUCACCUAGGAUUGAGGAUGAAUGUGGUGUGUCUAAUAUGUAUUGCUUUAUAGAAUUGAUAGAUUAUUACUAAUUUAUUUCUUAAAACAUGCUAAAACGUGCUUUAUUUCACAUUUAUUCCUUAAAACAUAGCUUUAAAUGAUAAAACAAGCUACAACAUGCUAAGAAGUGAGAAUUCACUUCUAUUACUAAUAUCAAAUUUAAAUGAUAAAACAUACUCCCUCCGUCCCGCUUCAUUUUGCCUACUUUUCUUUUUGGAUCGUCUCACUUGACUUGACAUAUUUUCUUUUUUAGUAAUAAAUUUUCACUACAAAUGACAUAGGCCCACAUAUUUUACACUACUUUACACUACAAUCUUAUUCUUGUUAAUCGUGCCGAAAAGAACUAAGUCAAGUGAAGUGGGACGGAGGGAGUUUUAAUUUAUUCCAUAAAACAUAGCUUGAACAACAUUAUAAAAAUAAUAGUAAUUACUAAUUUAGAGCUUAAAAAACAUGCUAUAUUCAUCCUAAAAAAUCAAAUGAACAAUAACAUUAUAGCAUCAAACAAAAUAUUCAAAAUAAACAAUAAACAUCUUUGAUUCUUUAAUUACAUUUUAAAUAUAAAAUAAUUAACAUUAUCUUUUUUAUUUUGGAGGUGAGAAUUCACGUCAAAUAGCUAUACCACUUGGAAAAGAUUAUUAUUUGUGUUUGAGUUUGAGUGUGUGCGUAUUUUGAAUUUGUAAUGGUGUGUGCCCAUCGGUCAUCAUAUUUGUAAAUAGAAUUACUAUUUUUAAUUCUUCAUUUCACAUCAAUUUCAAUGAAAUCAAAUACAUUUCAUGUGAAUACUUUACACAGACUGCUAUUUUGCAUCAUAUUUAUCGUUUAUAAUCAAUGUUUUUCUAAAAUAAAAUAAAAUAAAAAAUAAUCUAGUCGAUCGACCAGAUGUUUUCCAUGGCCGACCACUUUUUUUUUGAAGUGUGUUUCGAGUGCUAAUAAAAAAUAUACUCCCUCGGUCCCACCGAAAGUGAGUCCUAUUCCUUUUUGGGCCGUCCCAAUGAAAGUGAGUCGUUUCAUUUUUUGGUAAAAAUUAGAGAAUUUAAGGCUCUGUUAAUAAAACUAAUUACACAUAUAAUUAAAUAUAUCUAUUCUAUAAUACGAUUAGGCCUUAGCCUAUGUGGCAGGCCUUAAAUUCUUUCUUUUCAAUCUCAAUCUCCAACGUGGCAUUUGAGAAUCCAAUCUAUAUAUUCUCAUUCUCACUUUUAAAACAAAAGUCACGCCUCCCUCUUCCUCACCCCUCCCUCUUCCUCACCCCAUCGCCGCCGUCCCUGAAUCCGGUCGGCGUCGUCUCCCCCUUCACUGCCUUUCUCUUCUCUCAAUCCUUUUCUCUCUCUAAAGUCGAUUGCACACUCAAAUCGAGCCCUAAUUCCCCCCUUAAACUGCCCGCCUCUCUCUCCCUCUAAAUUCAGGCGUCGCCGCCGUCCUAAGGGCGGCGUUGCUCCACCUCAUCUCUGACUCCCUCUUCCAUUCCUUAAUUAGUUCGAUUAUGUUUCCACUUCUUAAACCAAUGAGAAUUCUCCAUUCGAAGCAAUUAAUACAAGAGCCCUAAGAUUUCUUUUUCCUAUAACCCGUUGCCGUUCCUUCUUCUAGACUCCGGCGAAAUAGUCGCCGCUGAGCUUGCGGUUCGUCCGCCGCCGAGUCACCGCUGAGCCCUGGAGUUCGUCCACCGUGCCGUCGACCCCCACCCCACCGACGACUUCUCUGUUUUGAUACCUCCAUUUCCUGAUCUGCCGUGAUUCUUCCUACACACCUAUGGUAAGUAUUAAAUUAGUUUCCUAAUUUAAUAACGUGUUUCACUAUUUUAAAUAUAGAAUGAUUAUUAUUUUAGAAAGAACAAAUUUUGGAAAGAAUUUUGGCAUCUGCUAUCAAGCGUGUUGUGAUUGUUGCAUGGAAGCAAUAUGAUUUAUCAACUCUGAUGAGGGGUGAAAUAUGCAAGGUCCUAAGAUCAGGACACGUGGCUUUGCUUGGAAUACCAAAGUGGAAUACCAAAGAUGAGCAGCAGGGAGCAAAGAAGCUGUGAGAAAUAGGCAGAGGGAAAAGUCCAGAGCAGAGCUAAACCAGAGCAGAGUUGCCAAAGCAAAGCUCCAGAGCAGAGUAACCAGAGCAGAGCUCCAGAGCAGAGGCCAGAGCCAAGUGCCAGAGCAGAGCUGCCAGAGCAGAGAUGCCAGAGCCAGAGCUAGCCAGAGCAGAGAUGCCAGAGCCAGAGCUAACCAGAGCAGAGAUGCCAGAGCAAAGCUCCAGAGCAGAGCUUCCAGAGCAGAGUUGCCAGAGCAGAGCUUCCAGAGCAAAGCUGCCAGAGCCAGAGCUAACCAGAGCAGAGCUUCCAGAGCAGAGGGCCAGAGCCAAGUUGCCAGAGCAGAGAUGCCAGAGC